CAGGGAUAGUAAGUAAAUCCUGGAGC
This 26-nucleotide non-coding RNA is filed under the name Rattus norvegicus (Norway rat). The record is from RNAcentral. Lineage: Eukaryota; Metazoa; Chordata; Mammalia; Rodentia; Muridae.